CGGCUGCAGCAGAAGAAGAGAAGCUCCCAUCAGAUCAGCUUUAAUCUCAACCAUGAUCUGUGUAGCUCUGCUGCUGUUGGCUGCUGGAUGCUGUGUGAAGUGUGAAACGCUGACACAACCAGCCUCUGUGACUGUGCAGCCAGGUCAACGUCUGACCAUCACCUGUCAGGUCUCUUACUCCCUAGGCUACUUCACAGCUUGGAUCAGACAGCCUGCAGGACAAGGACUGGAGUGGAUUGGAAUGAAAUACACUGGAGCUUCAUAUUAUAAAGAUUCACUGAAGAACAAAUUCAGCAUUGACCUGGACACUUCAAAUAAAAUAGUGACUCUGAAUGGACAGAAUAUGCAGCCUGAAGACACCGCUGUGUAUUACUGUGCCCGCAGAGACACAGUAACACAAAGCAUCUGUAGACCUGAACAAAAACCCCAGCAUGUGAAAAAAUAUAACGUGAAUCCACCAGAGGAGGAGCCCUCACACCACUAAUGACUGUAAUGAAAUCAGUCUUUUAGUUUAUCCCAUUUCCACUCAAACAGUAACU
Molecule: non-coding RNA, 539 nt
Organism: Sphaeramia orbicularis (orbiculate cardinalfish)
Lineage: Eukaryota; Metazoa; Chordata; Actinopteri; Kurtiformes; Apogonidae
Source: the annotation of a RefSeq genome assembly